AUUGAACGCUGGCGGCAGGCCUAACACAUGCAAGUCGAGCGGAUGAAGGGAGCUUGCUCCUGGAUUCAGCGGCGGACGGGUGAGUAAUGCCUAGGAAUCUGCCUGGUAGUGGGGGAUAACGUCCGGAAACGGGCGCUAAUACCGCAUACGUCCUGAGGGAGAAAGUGGGGGAUCUUCGGACCUCACGCUAUCAGAUGAGCCUAGGUCGGAUUAGCUAGUUGGUGGGGUAAAGGCCUACCAAGGCGACGAUCCGUAACUGGUCUGAGAGGAUGAUCAGUCACACUGGAACGGAGACACGGUCCAGACUCCUAAGGGAGGCAGCAGUGGGGAAUAUUGGACAAUGGGCGAGAGCCUGAUCCAGCCAUGCCGCGUGUGUGAAGAAGGUCUUCGGAUUGUAAAGCACUUUAAGUUGGGAGGAAGGGCAGUAAGUUAAUACCUUGCUGUUUUGACGUUACCAAAAGAAUAAGCACCGGCUAACUUCGUG
This 484-nucleotide ribosomal RNA is filed under the name uncultured bacterium. Its description in RNAcentral is "partial 16S ribosomal RNA". It matches the Rfam family "Bacterial small subunit ribosomal RNA", at positions 30 to 507 of the family's 1533-position model. The record is from RNAcentral.